GAAAAGUAGUGUGAAUUGCAGAAUUCAGUGAAUCAUCGAAUCUUUGAACGCACCUUGCGCCCCUUGGUAUUCCAUGGGGCAUGCCUGUUCGAGCGUCAUUUUGUACCCUCAAGCACUGCUUGGUGUUGGGCGUUUGUCCUGCAAAGGACUCGCCUGAAAGCGAUUGGCGGCCAACGUACUGGUGGUAGAGCGCAGCACAAUUUGCGUCUCUCCCUUCUACGUCGGCGUCCAUGAAGCCUUAUUCAAACGUUUGACCUCGGAUCAGGUAGGGAUACCCGCUGAACUUAAGCAUAUCAAUAAGCGGAGGAAAAGAAACCAACAGGGAUUGCCCUAGUAACGGCGAGUGAAGCGGCAUCAGCUCAAAUUUGAAAUCUGGCUCUUUCAGAGUCCGAGUUGUAAUUUGCAGAGGGCGCUUUGGUGUCGGCAGCGGUCCAAGUUCCUUGGAACAGGACGUCACAGAGGGUGAGAAUCCCGUACGUGGUCGCUGACCUACACCGUGUAAAGCCCCUUCGACGAGUCGAGUUGUUUGGGAAUGCAGCUCUAAAUGGGAGGUAAAUUUCUUCUAAAGCUAAAUACUGGCCAGAGACCGAUAGCGCACAAGUAGAGUGAUCGAAAGAUGAAAAGCACUUUGGAAAGAGAGUCAAACAGCACGUGAAAUUGUUGAAAGGGAAGCGCUUGCAGCCAGACUUGCUUGUAGUUGCUCAUCCGGGCUUUUGCCCGGUGCACUCUUCUGCGAGCAGGCCAGCAUCAGUUUGGACGGUUGGAUAAAGGCCUCUGUCACGUACCUUCUCUCGGGAAGGCCUUAUAGGGGAGGCGUCAUGCAACCAGUCUGGACUGAGGUCCGCGCAUCUGCUAGGAUGCUGGCGUAAUGGCUGUAAGCGGCCCGUCUUGAAACACGGACCAAGGAGUCUAACAUCUAUGCGAGUGUUUGGGUGUCAAGCCCGAGCGCGUAAUGAAAGUGAACGGAGGUGGGACCCCGCAAGGGUGCACCAUCGACCGAUCCUGAUGUCUUCGGAUGGAUUUGAGUAAGAGCAUGGCUGUUGGGACCCGAAAGAUGGUGAACUAUGCUUGAAUAGGGUGAAGCCAGAGGAAACUCUGGUGGAGGCUCGCAGCGGUUCUGACGUGCAAAUCGAUCGUCAAAU
Molecule: unclassified non-coding RNA, 1142 nt
Filed under: Pyrenochaetopsis leptospora
Lineage: Eukaryota; Fungi; Ascomycota; Dothideomycetes; Pleosporales; Pyrenochaetopsidaceae
Description: sequence contains 28S rRNA gene
Rfam family: Eukaryotic large subunit ribosomal RNA (bases 252-1142)
Source: RNAcentral